GCGGCGGACGGGUGAGUAACACGUGGGCAACCUGCCCUGUAGAUUGGGAUAAUCCGGGAAACCGGGGCUAAUACCGAAUAAUCCACCAGACCACAUGGUCCGGUGUUGAAAGGCGGCUUCGGCUGUCACUACAGGAUGGGCCCGCGGCGCAUUAGCUAGUUGGUGGGGUAACGGCCCACCAAGGCGACGAUGCGUAGCCGACCUGAGAGGGUGAUCGGCCGCACUGGGACUGAGACACGGCCCAGACUCCUACGGGAGGCAGCAGUAGGGAAUCUUCCACAAUGGACGAAAGUCUGAUGGAGCAACGCCGCGUGAGUGAAGAAGGUUCUCGGAUCGUAAAC
Molecule: ribosomal RNA, 341 nt
Filed under: Bacillus sp. oral taxon C52
Lineage: Bacteria; Bacillati; Bacillota; Bacilli; Caryophanales; Bacillaceae
Description: bacterial SSU rRNA
Rfam family: Bacterial small subunit ribosomal RNA
Source: RNAcentral